UGGGAGGAGCGCCGGCGGGUUCCCCUUCGAGCCUUUAAGGAGGCGUUUGGCUGCCGGGGUGGGGGGGAGGCCGUUGCCGCCGUCUCCCCCCCCCCACACUCCUCACAGAUGGAGCGGCGCUUCUUGGCCCCUCGGCUUGCCCUGCUCUCCGGCUAAUCCAGCUGUUGACGCUCGUUCUCUCCACCGCCUCAGAGCGUGUCCGCCCAAGGUUAUUAUUAGUACGGCGUUCAAAGGGGAGCGAGGUGCCGAAGGCCGAGGGACGUCGCGGGAGGUCUGGACUCGAAUUCUCACUGUCCUGCGACGGCUCUCCAAAGCUCAUGUAGAUGAAUCCUUCGCUGUAGCUGCAUCCUGCUGUAGUCACACUUUCUUCCAAGACCUUCAGAAAAUGUCGCUGUGUUGUUAGUGAAGGUGUUAUGGUGACCAGCCCAUGAUGCAUCCAUUUUUCAUAGAAAAGUCAAGGUGUCGCACCAGCUGCUUAUCCCUCUGGAACGUCACACCAGCACGCUUGCAAGCAGUGAAGGAGUUUACUCUGGGAACCUGCCUGUACCCUCCCUCAGCUUCACAGCCACCCUCUGCUGCUCCUCCGGGAGCCAUGUGUGUUGCCAGCUAGACUCUUUAACUGCUGAAGUGAGACUGGGAGAUGUCCACUCCUCCUUCUCCCCCACAACUUCCCCUCAGCCUGAAGGCUCUUGGGGCAACUCACAAUGUAGACCAAAAUCCACGGCUGAAACAAUCUGAAGCAACUCAUAACAAUAGAAACUGACUUAAGAGCUGCCCUAAACCAUGUAAUAAUCAUAUCAACGAAACAGCCAAAGUAGAAUAGCAGAUACCAAUUCAACUAGGUAACAUGAAUAAAUAACCAACCCAGUAUAGCAGUAAAACUACAA
Long non-coding RNA from Eublepharis macularius, 887 nucleotides. RefSeq lists it as uncharacterized. The record is from RefSeq and is a predicted model, not a curated record. Lineage: Eukaryota; Metazoa; Chordata; Lepidosauria; Squamata; Eublepharidae. The transcript is spliced from 3 exons.